RNAcentral lists this ribosomal RNA (122 nucleotides) under Acanthamoeba royreba. The record is from RNAcentral. Lineage: Eukaryota; Discosea; Longamoebia; Acanthamoebidae.
GGAUACGGCCAUACUGCGCAGAAAGCACCGCUUACCAUCUUAACAGCGAAGUUAAGCUGCGCCAGGCGGCGUUAGUACUGGGGUGGGCGACCACCCGGGAAUCCGCCGUGCUGUAUCCUUUU